This 468-nucleotide ribosomal RNA is filed under the name uncultured bacterium. RNAcentral's name for it is "partial 16S ribosomal RNA". It matches the Rfam family "Bacterial small subunit ribosomal RNA", at positions 28 to 507 of the family's 1533-position model. The record is from RNAcentral.
GACGAACGCUGGCGGCGUGCUUAACACAUGCAAGUCGAACGGAAAGGCCCUGCUUUUGUGGGGUGCUCGAGUGGCGAACGGGUGAGUAACACGUGAGUAACCUGCCAUUGACUUUGGGAUAACUUCAGGAAACUGGGGCUAAUACCGGAUAGGAGCUCCUGCUGCAUGGUGGGGGUUGGAAAGUUUCGGCGGUUGGGGAUGGACUCGCGGCUUAUCAGCUUGUUGGUGGGGUAGUGGAUUACCAAGGCUUUGACGGGUAGCCGGCCUGAGAGGGUGACCGGCCACAUUGGGACUGAGAUACGGCCCAGACUCCUACGGGAGGCAGCAGUGGGGAAUAUUGCACAAUGGGCGGAAGCCUGAUGCAGCAACGCCGCGUGCGGGAUGACGGCCUUCGGGUUGUAAACCGCUUUCGCCUGUGACGAAGCGUGAGUGACGGUAAUGGGUAAAGAAGCACCGGCUAACUACGUG